Molecule: non-coding RNA, 1468 nt
Organism: Marmota flaviventris (yellow-bellied marmot)
Lineage: Eukaryota; Metazoa; Chordata; Mammalia; Rodentia; Sciuridae
Source: RefSeq, a predicted model, not a curated record
CUGCUCUGGCCCUCCUUACACCACUUCCUCUUGAAGGUUCCCCAAGAGCAGACAGGUUUGUGUGGACGCCAGUUCUCUCCCACCCGUUGCCCUUGCUGACCGUCCAGGAGACCCGCCCUGAAGCCAGGCACGUCUCCGUGGGCAGAAGUGAGCCUCCCAGGACUCCACAGGGAACCCACCUGGCUUCCUCUGACCAGUGCCCCUGCCUCACAGAGCAUCGCCCUCUGUCCACUCCCCUCGGGUCUCUGCACUAAGCUCAUGUCCCAAGGCCUAUGAGGACCUGCUGGGGGAAGUGGGUAAUAGGAAAUGGACUCAAGGCCAGUGCGCUGAAGGAAAGCACCCCCAACUCGCCUGGGCUCAGAUUGGGCACUGUUUUCACAUCCUCUGGAUCACACUGAAUCUAUUCUCGGUCAUCACUCGAAGGCCUGACACAUUUGACAAGCAGUCGACUCGGGUCCAUCCGUGCUGCAGCGAGACAUGAGCCUCGUCACUCAGACAUCUUACAUGCACAUGCCAGGGGCACCGAGCUCGUCCACAGUGCUGAACGGCCCCCACGGCCAUCCUCUGCCACAUCUUUCUCAAGUUCCCAAGCUGCCAUUCUGUCCACGUUGAAAGAUAACUGCCCUCUGCCCCCCCCCCCCAGCCUCCUCUCUCUGCCUCUCUUUGCCUUCUGUCCCCGUGACUUGGACUUGCACAGUGAAGACGUGAAUCGUGCAGUAUUUGUCCUGUGGCCAGCUGACUCCACUUAGCAACAUCCUCCACGUCCAACCAGGAAGCAGGGGCCAGAAGGUCCCUCCUUGGUAGGACUGAAUCCUACUCCCCUGUAUGGGGGGGCCACAUUUUGCUUAUCCAUUUAUCUCCAUGGACACCUGGGUUAUUUCUGCUUUCUGGCUCUUGAGAAGGCUGCUGCCGUGAAUGUUGGUGAAAUCAUCUCUCCGUGUCCCUGCUCCCCGCUCCAUCGGGCACACACCCAGACAGGGAAUCCCUGGAUCAGGAGGGAACUCUGUGUUUAAUGUUUUCUAGUUUUCAUCAGUGCAUUGCAGUUAGACAUAGAGUGGGGUUCAUUUGGUCAUAAUUUCACCUCUGUGAAAAAAAUUGCUCCAUUUCAGUCCCUAAUAUCUCCUCUUUCCCUCCCCUCUCCCUCUGCUCAUCUGGCCUUCCUUCUACUUAGUGGUUGCUUUGUAGCCGGUGCUCUCUGUGGAAUCCACUGUGGUGCGUUCAUCAUCCACAGUGUAAUGUGGCCGACUUCUUUCUGAGUUAUUCCCUUUUCCUGUUCCUCCUGCUGUCUCCCUCAGCCCACCUCCUCUCCUCCACUGACCUCCUUUCUAUUGUCAUGGGAUCCUCCCUUGUUUUGCUCUAGUUUCCACCUUAGAGAGAAAAUAUUCCACCCUCGGCUUUCUGAAUCUGGCUUGUCUCACUCGGCAUGAUGUUCUCCAGCUCCAUCCACUGAUCAGCAAGUGCCACCAUU